GCGAACGUGGUGAAAAUGGUAGACACGCCUCCCUCAGGAGGAGGUUUCGUAAGAAGUGAGAGUUCGAGUCUCUCCGUUCGCACCA
RNAcentral lists this transfer RNA (85 nucleotides) under Aeromonas veronii. Its description in RNAcentral is "tRNA-Leu". It matches the Rfam family "tRNA". From Rfam's summary of the family: Transfer RNA (tRNA) molecules are approximately 80 nucleotides in length. Their secondary structure includes four short double-helical elements and three loops (D, anti-codon, and T loops). RNAcentral also lists the same sequence under 1 other name. The record is from RNAcentral. Lineage: Bacteria; Pseudomonadati; Pseudomonadota; Gammaproteobacteria; Aeromonadales; Aeromonadaceae.